This 10349-nucleotide long non-coding RNA is filed under the name Mytilus galloprovincialis (Mediterranean mussel). The record is from RNAcentral. Lineage: Eukaryota; Metazoa; Mollusca; Bivalvia; Mytilida; Mytilidae.
UACAGAAAUAGUAAGGAUGUUGUUAGACAGAGAAGCAGAUUAUAAUAAAUGUGACAAGGAAGGCAAGUCAGCUGUCAUAAUUGCUUCUGAAAGAGGUCAUGGUGAUAUAGUUAAUGUUUUAAAUGAACAUUCUAGGAACAAAACAGGUACAUAACAUUAGAAGUUUAAAUUACUUUAGAAAACCUUUAUAACUCCUACAAAUUACUAAAACUGUCUUCAUCAGUAUAUAUGUUCAUAUUGUUGUUUUACCACUGUACUUAAAAGUUAUCUUCCUAAAAAUGCAUGAAAUAUUUACCUCUGGAUGUUAAGCAUACAACAAUCAAUCAAUCCAAAAGUUUAAAACACAGAUAAACGCAGGAGGAUUUGUUUUUGAUUGGUUAUUUAUUUUUGUAAACGAAGAGGACAGAUUAUUCAUUUUCUUUGAUAUUGAAGCAAGAUUUUUCAUUUUCAUUAAAGCAAGGGACUGAUUAUUCAUUUUCACGACUAUAUCUAUGGUAUUCGAAAACAAACAAUUUUUAAAUGAUUUGUUUAUCAUAAAUAAUACCUCAGUAUAGGUCAUUGUCCUAGUGGUUUUGUUAUUAUGGGUCAAAGAAGGUCAGUUUAACAGGUUCAUAGAAAAUAAAUUGGUUCGAAUACAAUAACUUUAGUAUAAGUGUAUGGGUCUAUCUAUGUGAAACAGGGCUUUAGCACAAGGUCCAUUUGACCACAAUAAGGAGGUUUGGAUAUACUCAAGAAAUUUUUGGGAUUUUAUUGUUGCAGAUGUUUUGUAAUUAAGGGCCAAAAGACAAGGGGCCAAAACCAAUUAUUUGUCUGGUGAAACUUUAGCACAAGGUUCCAUACCACAAUAGGACUUGAGUUAUGAAGAUGACUGAGAUUAAUUAUAUUUUGUCAUAUAGCUGAAUAAGGGACCAAAAAGGACUUAACAAAAACAAUUAUUUGUCUGGUUCACAGACAAUAAAUUGAGUAUAAGUGAAAGUGCAUGGAUCUUUAUUAGAUUUUAGCACAAGGUUCCAUAUCACAAUAGGAAGGUUGGGAAUUAUUUUGGGGUUAUUGUGGAAGCUGUUUGAUAAUAAGCGGCCAAAAAGGGCCAAAAGAGGCAUUUUUCAUGUUUCAGGACAAUUAUUUGCGUAUUAGAGUAUGGAUCUCUAUGAAAUUUUACCACAAGGUUCCGUACUUCAUAAUGAAAGUUUUAAUUUAUAUUUAGGGGGUCAAACUGUCUAAUAAAUAGGGGUUUAAAAGGGAUUUUCUGGUUUCUGGACAAAAACUUGAGUAUAACUCUAUUUACUGCUAUUUAAUUCUGCCACAAGAUGUUAUAUCAUAAAAUAAAGUUUGGGGUUAUGACCUUAAUGGUUAAGUUAAAAAGGGCAAAAAAUAAUUCUUUGUAUACAUUGCUUAUUGCUUUAGCAAUUUCAAUGGGGUUUAAUUCAAAUUCUUGAAUUCUUACAUUGGGAUUCUUUAAUCUGGUAUUUAUAAUUUGGAUUUGGGGUAUGUUUUUCAAUUGGUCCAUAUUAAGAUUCAAUAUUAAUUAUUGGUGUUCUUUGAUAUGCUGAAUCUAAUAAUGUAUUAAGAUUUUUAAUUUUCGGGCCUGUCUUCAAAUUGGUCCCCAUUGAGGUCCCAAGGGUCCAAAAUUAAUAUUGCUGGUUCUAAAAAAAAUGACUGGUUGGGGUUCUUUGAUAUGCUGAAUCUAAGGGUGUAUUUAGAUUUUUGAUUUUGGGCACAGUAUUCAAAUUGGUUAGAUUGGGGUCAAAAAUUGAACUUUGUUUGAUUUCAUCAAGAAUUUAAUUCUGGUGUUUUUUGAAAUGGCCAAUCCAACAGUGCUUUAGAUUUUUGAUUUUGGACCCAGUUUUCAAAUAGGUCCACAUUGAGGUCCAAAGGGUCCAAAAUUAAACUGUUUGAUUUUAUCAAAAAUUGAAUUAUUGGGGUUCUUUGAUAUGCCGAAUCUAACUGUGUAAUUAUAUUUUUAAUUUUGGUCCCGUUUUCAAAUUGGUCUGCAUUAUGGUCCUCGGAGUUCUUUAAUAUGCUGAAUUCAUCGUGUAUUAAGUUUUGGAUUUUUGACCCCGUUUUCUUAUAGGUCCACAUUGAGGUCCAAAGGGUCCAAAAUUAAACUUUGUUUGAUUUCAUCAAAAAAUGAUUUAUGGACUUCUCUUUAACUGAAUUUUAAAUGUACGUAUUGUUAUGUGGUUACUUUUCUACAUUGGCUAGAGGUAAAGGGGAGGGUUGAGAUCUCAUAAACAUGUUUAACCCCGCCGCAAUUUUGCGCCUGUCCCAAGUCAGGAGCCUCUGGCCUUUGUUAGUCUUGUAUUAUUUUAAUUUUAGUUUCUUGUGUACAAUUUGGAAAUUAGUAUGGCGUUCAUUAUCACUGAACUACUAUAUAUUUGUUUAGGGGCCAGCUGAAGGACGCCUCCGGGUGCGGGAAUUUCUCGCUACAUUGAAGACCUGUUGGUGACCUUCUGCUGUUGUUUUUUCUAUGGUCGGGUUGUUGUCUCUUUGACACAUUCCCCAUUUCCAUUCUCAAUAUUAUUGGGGGUCUUUGAUAUGCCGAAUCUAACAGUAUAUUUAGAUUUUGUUUUAAUUUUCGGUCCUGUUUUCAAAACUGGCCUACAUUAAGGUCCAACGGGUCCAAAAUUAGACUUAGUUUGAUUUUAACAAAAAAUGAACUCUUGGGGUUCUUUAAUAUGCUGAAUCUAACCCGGUAUUUAGUUUUUGGAUGUUGGGUCCUGCUUUUAAAUUGGUUCACAUUUAGGUCCAAAAGGUCCAAAAUUGAAUUUGUUUUGUUUGUUUUUAUAAAAAAUUGAAUGUAUGGAGUUCUUUGAUAUGCUGAAUCUAACCGUGAAUUUAGAUAUUUGAAUUUUGGGUCCUGUUAUUAAACUGGUCCACAUUGAGGUCAAAAGGGUCGAAAAUUAAACUUUGUUUGAUUUCCUUAAAAAUUGAAUUAUUGGGGUUCUUUGAUAUGCUGGAUCUAAGCAUGCAUUUAGAUUUUGGAUAUUGGACCAUAAUCGGUUAAUGUCCUAUUUAACAUUUAAAUUCUUAAACCACAUUCAUUAUGUGUCAGAAACCUAUGCUCUGUCAACUAUUUAAUCACAAUCCAAAUUCAGAGCUGUAUCAAGCUUGAGAGUUGUGUCCAUACUUGCUCCAACUGUUCAGGGUUCGACCUCAGGGUAUCAAGCUGCGCCCUGCGGAGCAUUUUAUUUAUUUUUUGGACAAGUUUUCCAAUGGGUCCACAUAGUCCAAAAUUAAGAUUAUUUUGAUUUUAUGAAAAAAAUGAAUUCAAGUUUUUUUUUGCUAAACUGAAACCAGAGGCUUUCUAUACUAACGGGACUGGUCACUUAACGAUAUCUAUACAAAUUAGUCAGUAUAGAAAGUCCCUGCUGAAUCUAAGCAUGUAUUUAGAUUUUUGAUUUCUGGCCAAGUUUUCAUUUGGUCUAAAUCGGGAUUCAAAAUUAAACUUUGUUUGAUUUCAACAAUAAUUGAAUAUAUGUGGUUCUUUGAUAUGCUGAAUCUAACAAUGUAUUCAGAUUUUGGGCCGCGAUUUGAUUGAUUGAUUGUUGGUUGCUUUACGCCGCAUUAGCACAAAAAGGCUGUAUCGCGGCGAGAGCUAAUUCGAAUAUUUUUACAAUUUAAAGCAUAUUUUUAAAAUAAGACAAAAAGUCCUUCAAUAUACUAAAAUUGUAGACUGAAGCAAAUUGAUUAUUUACAAAUAAAAAUCAACAGUAAGAUUAAAAGUUAAAAACGACUUAAGUAUUAUAACAUUUUUAUAUUCUUUAAUAAAUUCCAAUUUCUUUUAAAAAUGCAACAAUAUUUGUAAAUGGAACAUUACUAAAUAAAUCAUACAUAUUCUUGACAUUGAAAUGCUUCUUACGAAAAUCAGCAAAGUUUAGUUUUUCGACCAAAUUCAUUCUGUGUCAGAAACCUCUUUUUAAUGUAUCUUUUAUGCAUAUUAAAAAGCAAAUUCAAAUGAAACAUAUUUUUAACCAUAAAUAAAACAUUGCUUGUAUGGUAGAUUAAUUUGUAAUUAAAAGGUCCAUGUAAAGAUGCCGUGCAUGCCACUUUUAUUGUUUAUUUGUUUAUUAUGUGCUGUACAUAUGUUGGAAAUAGAACAUUUUUGUUUUAUCAUUUUAAAUUUUAAAGUUAAGGGAAAACUCCAUAUAUAUUUGGAGGGGCUCCUAAUUAAAGGAGGCUUAUACUAUACUAAGAAGAAGCUGCAUGCGUAUUUGUUAGUGCAAAACCAGUUUUGGUUUGAUAAACUUUCCAUGUGUUAAUGAAAACCAGUUUGAAACUAGUUUCGAACCUAAACUGGUUUGACGUUUGUUAUUCUCAAACCAAAACUGGGUUCCAGAAACUAUUCAAACCAUGUCCAAGGGUGGUUUAUGGUUUUGGUUUUAUAGGGUUUAAAAUGGCGGCAAUGUUGAUGCAGUGUAGUGGUCGCGAAAAACUUUAUGCAGAUUCUAUGGUCAAAUUGAUUUUUUUAGUGGAUCUUCAAUACUAAUGUACUAGUAGUAUAAACUUUUUGUGUUGUUUUUUAACCUCACAUAGUUUUUAAUAUAGAUAAUGUUAAUUCUGAACACUGCAUUUUUUUGGGGUAAUUUAUUUGUUACUGUUAUUGCUAUUUAUUCAGUCUCGCAGAUAUCUUCUUGUAUACAUUGGCAAUUAAAAAACGUCUUAAAUUUUUAUUUGUUGUAAAUUGGAAAAUACUGAGAUGACAGAUUAAUGUUUAUGAGAUAACAAUCCGAUAAAAAAAAAUGCAAAUAUUACUAGAAUUCAUAAUUGUGAAAUAAAUUGAAAUAGCCAAUGAGAACAAGAGCUUAUGAAAUUGUUAGUAGUGUUUGUCACGGAAUAGAAGUUCCUUCAUAAUAUAAGUUCCAAAAGGAACAGAUAUUCUGGAAUAUUAUUUCCACAGGAAUAAAUAUUACAGUAUAUGUUCCUAACGGAAGAAAUGGUAUAGAAUAUUUGUUCCAACAGGAAUAGAUAUUAUGACAAUGUUUAUAACAAAGUUUCCAUUGGAACUUCUGUUAGGUGGAACAAAUAUACGUUGACAGUGAUUAUGAUAUUUGGUAUAUAUGUUGUUGCAUUAAGAUGAGCACAACUCACUAUGCAAUUAGAAAAUAAAUGGCUCCAUUUUCGAAUUCAGGGUAUGGACACUGAAACAUUAACAGUUACCAUGUUGAACUUAAUUGUGAUUAGGUAUAGUGAACCACCAUUGAUAAUUCAUUGAUAUUGGUAUACAGUGUGAACAUCUCAUUUAACAGAGAUUAUUAUAAUUUGACUAGGUGCGUCUGUCAGUAUCUUACCAAUAAUUAAUUAAGAGACUGGUUAAGUUUGAUUUUUAUGUCUAAAUUCUAAGCAACACGUGACCUCUUUUUCUUUUGCAGUUUCGAGUAUUAUGUACACCAAAAAAAAAGUUAUUUAUUUCUUCCAUCUCCCUAAACCCACUCUUCAAUGUACUCAUUCAUGCCAUCAAUUUUAUUUCAAGAGCAGAAAUCAGGAGCGUAUUUUGUUCUUCUUCGGUCGUGAGCCAGAGGAGGUCCAUUUCUAUUGUUUUGCAUCUUCUGGUUAUCUUCCACCUUUUUUAAACAAAACAAAAAAGGUGGUUUAGACGGCAGAGGCACAAAACAAACAAGCAUGGAGUCGUUUAGUCUAAAUAACAAUAAUAAAUUUAUGAAUGUAGAUAUAUAAGAAUGUGAGCUGUGUUAUAAACGCUUUUAUGGUAUGUCAGUCUUAGUAGGACAUCCCUGUAGGACGAUAAGCUGGAUAAAUACAAGAACUACACGGACAAUAACAGUUAAGGAGCAACUAUUUGUCAUUCAAGGGAUUUGUUUCAUUGGUUGUGUUUAACACUCAUGAUUAGGCUAGUGUCCAAAUAUGAAGUGGAUGUAAGCAAUUAUAGGCAACAUUAAGGCCUUCUACAAUGACACAACCCAAUACUGUAAAGCCGUUUAUAGAAGGCCAUGAAAAGUGUACAAAAAAUCAAACAAAAAAACUAUAGGUCUAACCAUACAAAACAAAACAAUUUAUAAAAAAUUAAAUAUGAGUUGAGACAUGUACUAAUGACAACCACUAAACAGGUUCAUAAAGAAUAUGGCAGGGGUUGAUAUAAAAACGAAGAUAUGGUAUGAUUACCAAUGAGACACUCUUAAUAGAGACAAAAUGACACACAAAAAUUAACAGCCAUAGGUCACCAUACAGCCCUCAACAAUAAACAAAGCCCAUACCACAUAGUCAGCUAUAAAAGGUCCCGAAAUUACAAAAUUUAUGUAAAACCAUUCAAAGGAGAAAACUAACGGCCUAAUUAAUGUACAAAAAAAAAGUGAAAAAAAAAAAAAUAAGACGGCAACAAACGACAACCACUGACUUGCAGGCUCUUGACUUGGGACAGACACGUACAUACAGAAUGUGGCAGGGUUAAAUAUGUUAGCGGGAUAACAACAAUCCCUUAACCUGGGACAGUGGUGUAACAGUACAACUUGUUUGUGAUCGCUCAAUCCUUCCCGGAGCUGAAACAGUAGUGUGGCAGUACAGUAUAAGAACAACCUGUGCAAAUCAGUUGCAAUUAGAUUAACUCAAACGAUCGGUACGAGACACACAAAAAAAAACAAAACAAUAAGCUUGAGAGUUUCAAUAAAUUGUGGAUUCAAUUUACUCAUUUGUUCGAUUGUAAUUAAAGUCCUAUUAUAAUUCAUAUGUGAAAAACAUGAUAGAAUGUUAAUUUGUGAACCAACAAAAAAGUUACAUCAAAAAUAUUCAUCAGAACAUUAUAUUUAUAUUUAUUUUCUUUUUUUUCUCUGUGUUAAUUUUUUCUUUUUUUAUUAUUUUAAAUUUUAUUUAACUUAUUUUUCCUCAAAAUUUCCAUUCUUAAAAAAACUAUAAAAACUUAGAAUAUCUGUACGUUUGUUAAACAAUUAUUCUAAUAUGAUGAAUACAUUUAUUUGUGGUCCUUAAUUUUGAACUUUUAUUAUGUUAUUUUUUAAUGCAAAUAAAAAAUGCGAUAUUAUACUGUAACUACAGCUGAUAUAUUUUUUUGUAAAAUGAACUAACAAAUACUAACACAUAUAUAUUUGCAUGAUCUAUUACUAACAUUAACGAGGCCGGGAUAAGGUACCGGUAUUCGAUGUUUUCAUUACUAACAAAUGUACAGAUUUCAAUAUAAAAUGAAAAUUAAAAAAAAAAAAAAAAAAAAAAGAAACGGCGAACUUACAUUAAGACAAUAGACUCGAAGCAUCAAACUAAGAGUAUUUGCAAUUAAUGGAAGUUUGUUCAAAGCUAGUUGCAACUUGUUCUGAAAUAAAACUUGUUCUUCCAGACUGAAGUAUCAAUCAGUACACAACCAACUGAUUUAUUUUUAAAAAAAUCUUAAGAAACGUCUGCUAUACGAUGUAUCCUUACAUAUAGAUCCAUAUACAAUGAAAGUUUUUGAAAAGUGGAAGUCCAAAGGUUUUGACCAUCAAAAUUUUGCAUUAGAAAAAAUAGUUAGGACCAGAAGAUUUUUUUCUAGGACCACCAGAGAAAAAGGAUUUUGAGAACUUUCUGAUAUCUUUGUUUUAUCACAAAAAAAGUCCACUUCGGUUACUUUAAAAAAAAAAUGUGGAUUGACUAAGAUGUCCUUUUUGAUCAGUCAUAUUCACAGGCACUUGUCUCAGAAUUUUUUUCCUGUAUAUAUACUAGACAAACAUUGACAAUUUCUUGUGCAGUUUAAGAUUAUUCUUAAAAAACAUAUAGUGGGGGUUAAUCCUGGUUCUCUACUGGACGUAUCUUAAUUUUCUAAACAAUUAUUGAAAACUUAAUUUAUGUCAUCAAACAUAAUAAAAAUCUGCUGUAUUUGAAGGCAAAUUGAAUUUGUAUUCAUUGAUCUUCCGUAGAAUAUCUCCAGAAGAGGUCCAGAUUCUUUUUGUGGGGGAUUCUUCACUAAAAGACAUCCUGGAAAUGUGUAGAAGAGACCAAUAAAACAGGCCCAAGUAGUUUUGACAUCAUUUAAAUUUCAGAUAAACUUUACAUUUGUUGAAAAAUAUAUUAACCCAAACAAAUUUUGAAACCUAAACCAAAACCAAUCAAAACCAGUUUUAAACCAAAACCUAAAACUAAUAAAAACCAGUUUUUUCUGUAACAAAUACGCCCUUAAUCACAAUCAAAAUCCAGAGCUGUAUCAAGCUUGAAUGAUCUUGAAUGUAGUGUCCAUAAUUGCCCCAACUUUUCAGGGUUCGACCUAGGUGGUCGUAUCAAGCUGCGCCCAGGAGAGCAUUUCAUUUAUACUUGUAUUGCUAAGUUUUACUAAAGAACAAGUGGACAUGUAGUCUCUCGUUAAAGAAAACUCUCAUCUUAUAGAAAUCUUAAGAAAUGUACUGCUAUUGAAUUAUUGUUUUCCCGUUCCCUUCUCUAAAUUGCCUUUCUUAUGCAUUUACCUCAACUAAAAGACCUCUCAUUAGAACUUCUUAGAUCUGCAAACACACAGCACAAAUGAAAGGGAAACCCGUUUUGAAAAAGAAAAGGUAAACAAACAUGCACUGCAAGGUAGAUAAGUGUAUAUUGAUUCUGAAAGACAAAUACUAAAUCACUUAAAACCUGUCAUGACAAAGUUUUGAUUAACAAAGGAAACGCCUGACAAUUCGGAAAGAAAUAAACAUUGCUCUAUCAACUUUCUUAUUUUUCAGGUACUUUAUGAUUCUGUGUGGAUUGUUAUUUAAGGUAAUGACUGUAAAGCUAAUGCAACACAACAAUUAGAAGCUAGAGUUAUGGAUUAACAAUCAUUCAAUGAUAUAUUUUGUAUUCAUAAGAUUAUGCAUUAUGGAUUUGUAAUAAACAAAAACAAAAACUUUAGAUGCUUAACAUUAUAAUAACAUGAUGCUCGUUUGAGAUAACUUUAAUCAUGAUUAUUCAAACGAGUACUUUCGGAUUUUGGUUACUUUCUCAUAAAAUAUUGUAAAUUCAAUAUUACUUCGUCAAAAGCAGUCAGUGUUCCGCAACCAUAACCUCUCACUGCUUAUGUCUUUAUAAUGAACCUACAAGACUGUCCAUCAGUCUACCAGCUGACUGUGUAGUGUUGAGACAGAAUUUAUCUCUUUCUCAUUUUUAGCUCACUUGGCCCGCAAGUGAGCUUUUCUCUUCACUUGGCGUCCGUCACAGUUUGAAUCAGUGACCCAGUGGAAUGAAACAAAAUUUGGCAUGAAUGUUCGUUAUAAGGUACUGACUAAAUGCUGUUACUUUGUAGCAGAUCCAUAAUCCAAGAUGGUCUCCAGCAGGGGACUGUCGUUUAACAUAGGACCCUUUUGACAAUACAUACAAAUGUCUUCUUUUAGAGAACUUCUGAAUGGAAUGAAACUAAACAUGUUCCUUAUGUGGUGCUGACCAAGUGUUGUAAUUUUUUGUAGCCGAUCCAUCAUCCAAGAUAUCCAUAAAAAGGUACUUAGUUUAACAUAUGGCCCUUUUGGGCUUUACAUACAAAUGUCUUCUUUUAAAGAACCUCGAUAUGGAAUGAAAUAAAAAUUGCAUGAAUUUUCCAUAUGAGGUGCUGACAAAGUAUUGUAACUUUGUAGGUGAUCCAUCAUCCAAGAUGGCCAUCAGCGGGGGACAUGUUUAACACAGGACCCUGUGGACAAUGCAUAAAAUGGUCUUCUUUUAGAUAACAACUAAAUGGAAUGAAUGUUCCAAAUCAGGUGCAGGCCAAGUGUUGUUACUUUAUAACCAAUCAAUCAUUCAAGAUGGCUGCCAGAGGGGAACUUAGUUUAACAAGAAUCCUAUGUGAAAUACAUGCAAAAGUCUUCUUUUGAAAAACCGCUAAAUGGAAUGAAACCAAACAUGGUAUGACUGUUCCAUGUGAGGUGCUGACCAAUGGUGUUCACUUUGUAGCAAAUCCAUCAACCAAGAUGGCUGCCAAUGGGAAUUUCGUUUAAGAUAGAAGCCUAUGUGAAAAAUAUACAAAUGUCUUCUUUUAGAAAACCGCUUAAUAGAUUGAAACCAAAAUUGUAUGAAUGUUUCUUUUGAUGUGCUGAACAAGUGUUGUUUAUACCUUGUAGCUGAUUCGUCAUUGUCCUUAUAAAGUCAUUUUCUACAUUUUGUAAACUUUACAAAAGUCUUCUGCGUUUGGUUAAAUUACGAGACAACAUUCAAUCAAAUUUGGCCUCAAUUAUUAUUAGGGUAUCUGUUAUGAUUUAGAUUUAAUCUAUUUUUACAUGAUUUCCAAAACCAAACUAGAAUCAGGUGAGCGACACAGGCUCUUGGAAGCCUCUAGUUACUUAGGCAAUUUAUUUGAAAAUUAUUGUAUUUUUUAGACUUUUACAUUUUGAUUUUAAAAUUAAGUUCAUUUUAUGAUUAAGUAGUUUUGGUAUUAAUUCUAUAUUUUAUUUUUACAUUGGAAAGAG